GGGGUACUGGUACAGAGUCAAUAUGGAGGCUAUAUACAGAGGGUACUGGUACAGAGUCAAUGUGGAGGCUAUAUACAGUGGGUACCGGUACAGAGUCAAUGUGGAGGCUAUAUACAGGGGGUACCGGUACAGAGUCAAUGUGGAGGCUAUAUACAGGGGGUACCGGUACAGAGUCAAUGUGGAGGCUAUAUACAGGGGGUACUGGUACAGAGUCAAUGUGGAGGCAAUAUACAGGGGGUACCAGUAUAGAGUCAAUGUGGAGGCUAUAUACAGGGGGUACCGGUACAGAGUCAAUGUGGAGGCUAUAUACAAGAGGGUACUGGUACAGAGUCAAUGUGGAGGCUAUAUACAGGGGGUACUGGUACAGAGUCAAUGUGGAGGCUAUAUACAGGGGGUACUGGUACAGAGUCAAUGUGGAGGCUAUAUACAGGGGGUACUGGUACAGAGUCAAUGUGGAGGCUAUAUACAGGGGGUACCGGUACAGAGUCAAUGUGGAGGCUAUAUACAGGGGGUACUGGUACAGAGUCAAUGUGGAGGCUAUAUACAGGGGGUACCGG
Oncorhynchus tshawytscha (Chinook salmon) is the source of this 557-nucleotide long non-coding RNA. Lineage: Eukaryota; Metazoa; Chordata; Actinopteri; Salmoniformes; Salmonidae. The record is from Ensembl.